CCAGUGGCGAAGGCGACUUUCUGGUCUGUAACUGACGCUGAUGUGCGAAAGCGUGGGGAUCAAACAGGAUUAGAUGCCCUGGUAGUCCACGCCGUAAACGAUGAGUGCUAAGUGUUAGGGGGUUUCCGCCCCUUAGUGCUGCAGCUAACGCAUUAAGCACUCCGCCUGGGGAGUACGACCGCAAGGUUGAAACUCAAAGGAAU
This 203-nucleotide ribosomal RNA is filed under the name Staphylococcus aureus. RNAcentral describes it as "partial 16S ribosomal RNA". It matches the Rfam family "Bacterial small subunit ribosomal RNA", at positions 709 to 910 of the family's 1533-position model. Lineage: Bacteria; Bacillati; Bacillota; Bacilli; Caryophanales; Staphylococcaceae. The record is from RNAcentral.